This is a non-coding RNA of Callithrix jacchus (white-tufted-ear marmoset), 903 nucleotides long. Lineage: Eukaryota; Metazoa; Chordata; Mammalia; Primates; Cebidae. The record is from RefSeq and is a predicted model, not a curated record.
AAGGGGGCACGGUACACCUUACUAAUUAUCUCAAUUUGUAGUAAUGGUUUAUGGGUAUAUUCCUAUGUCAACACUUAUCAAACUCUACACUGAAAAUAUGUGCAGUUUAUUGUGUGUCAAUUAUACUUUAUUCAUUUUAAAAGAGUCCAUUGUUCAAAUCCUCCCUCGAGAGCUCUUUCUAGCAGUAAGGCAAUGGAACCAGGAAUGUAUGCCUAAAUGUGUCAGCAGACAAAGGCUUUUUAAAAAGUGCCAUACUCGUGUUUGAAAGGCAAAGAGAAUUUUGCUUGGUUUCUGUACUUCGUGGGAGUUCCUAUGGGCUAUCCUGAUAGGCCACCAGCUGAUUUAAGGAGUCCCAGUAGGCAUUUUCUUGGUUUUAUCCAGCACCUCAGUACUGCCCCAACCACCCACUUCCAGCCAUUGUGACAAGGCACCAUCAACCAUCAUGUCCCUUUACCAGGAGGGCCCAUGUCAUAAGCCACUAUAUAAAGGGAAUGAUGGGUGGAUGGCUUUGGACAAAUGGACUUGGGGUAGGAGAGAGGGACAACAGUGGGAGCAAAAAGAUCUUGCUGUUUCAACCAAAACCUCGUGCUGACCGGAGUUGAGGAACAGAAGAAGAUGGUAAAAGCCUGUGGAUGUAGGUGUUCAGCAUGCCAUCUGAGAUAUUCCCCACGGACGCAAAAAGCCAGGAAAUUACCUCUGAAAAGGAAUGGGAAGACAAGUCAGCAGAAUAUGUCAAUGUUUUGGUUGAAGAAGCUGCUUGAAUUUGUGCUUUUCUGUAACAUGUGCUCUCCCACAGCCAGCACAGAGAAGGGCUUUUGGCGCAGGCCCAAGACCACCAUAAUCAUCAUUGAUUAUUCCUCUCCACCCCAGGGUCUCUAAAUAAAACGUCUCUUCUUUCUCUGA